Ictalurus punctatus (channel catfish) is the source of this 435-nucleotide long non-coding RNA. The record is from Ensembl. NCBI's taxonomy places the organism in Eukaryota, Metazoa, Chordata, Actinopteri, Siluriformes, Ictaluridae.
CGACAAACUACUAAAAACAAUAAAAAGGAGGCGAUCAAUAAAGGUUUUGCCAAGUUUGACAGCUGCUAGGAAAAGAGUGAUUAAAAAAGACGUGUUGAAGCAUGGAAACAGAUAUGAGUGUCUGAAGGACUUGGAGGGGAUAGACUGAAACGAUGGAAACCUCUUCACGGCUAAAGCUGCAGAGAUGGAGCUGCAGAUCGAGAGUGCGGGCGCAAGAGAAGACUUUUGAAAACUUUUGCAAAAAGAAGCUGGGUGGGUAUACAGUUGCGGUCGGAAGUUUACAUACCACUUGCAGUAUCUACAAAAUCUUAAUACUCUUAACAAAAUAAGAUUGAUCAUAAAAAUCCUAAGUUUCUUAUUUAGUACCGCCAUGAAUAAGCUAUUUCACAUAACAGAUGUUUACAUAUAGUCCACAAGAUAAUAGCUGAAUUAAUC